This is a non-coding RNA of Notechis scutatus (mainland tiger snake), 1640 nucleotides long. NCBI's taxonomy places the organism in Eukaryota, Metazoa, Chordata, Lepidosauria, Squamata, Elapidae. The record is from RefSeq and is a predicted model, not a curated record.
UCUUUGUGUUUUUUUAGGAUGUAAACUUGUCAUAUAUUUGGAAAUAAAGGCAUUCCUGCAAGAUGAGAUCUGAUUUGACAUACAGGAGUGACUAAUUGCUGACACAUAUUGAAAUCGUGCUGAUUUAGGGGAGACUGGAGAUUCUCUUUUUUCUGGACGAGGGUUAUAAAAGAGGAUGCUGCAACGGGAAGAACCAGAACCACAGGAGCAGCGAGUCAGACAAUUUCUACACAGUAUAUAAGUUAUCCAGGGGAUUUCUAUCCUGUUUCUUCAGGAAUAUACUCUCUUUCCUACCUGUGUUUCCUGCUAUAAUAUGCCUGCCUUGUCAAGGAACCACACCGUUUUUAUUGCUGCAGAAUGUACUAGAAAAGCAUCCUCUCUGAUGCAAAGUGAUUCUUUUGGAUCUCACUAGUAACAUUCUGCUCCCAUGGGUAGAGCCCACUCCCAGCUGAAGAACCAAAGUGUAGAUAUUAUACAGUAAUAUCAUGAGCAUACAUGCUCCAAUUCCUUUCAUUUUGCUGGUCUUCUCCAACUGUUUAUUGUACAGCUGAAUACCUUCUGUCUGAUGGUUCUCCCAAGAACAAUUCAGCAAAAAGGAAUGCAAAGCCACCUUAAUUUUGAAUUCAGCAUUUUCCUCUGAUAAGGAGCCAUCAUACAUUUCUUCUCUGAAGAGUUAAGAAUGGAAUCAGGACUGUCAAAGAAAUUUCAUUCUAUUAAACAGAGCAACAUUUGUGCAAGAAAGCCCACUACAUAAAUAAACCUCAGUUCCAUUAAGAACUUUCAUGUUUGGAAUCCAAUUCUAUUUCAACAGAAAUAAAGCAGAUUUAUACAUACAUACAUCCUACAAAUAUGUAUGUAUAAGCAGAUUUUUUAAAAUAUAAAAUAUUUUUAUAUUAAAGAUUAAGUAUUUGUAAUACAAAGCAUAUGUAUAGUAUGCUGUAGUAUAAAGGUGAUCUACAAGUAUACAAGGUAGCUUAAAAAUUCAAAGAUUUAUUUCAUUUUUGGAAUAUUCUGCUGAGUAAUAGAAGAAAAAAGUUCAUUUGGAGUAAGACACAGAUGGAAGUCAAGUAGCAGUGUUGUAAACAAAGAGAUUAAUAAUUCAGCUGAUGUGGAGCACUGUAGCUGAAGAAAAUGAAAAAUUCUUAUCAAUCUCUGCAGUUCAGUGUGUCAUGGUUGGGAGGUGCCUGAUCCUCUCGUAAAAAAUGCUUGCCAAUUCAGGUGCACUUUUAUUUCUGAUAUCAUUGGAAAGUUUGACAUUUCUGUAAUAUCUGUUUUUUAAUUGAGAAAUAAAAAAUUGAGAAAUCUAGUCUGAAAACAUUUUGCUUUGCAUUUUAUUGCUCUAAUAUGAACUGGGAACAGAAAACACUUCCUCUAAUUAGCAUUAAGGGAUGAAACAGUUCAAUGUCUGCCUCCUGAGCCUGGCAUUUUGUCAUGGGAAAGACUCUUGGCUGCAUCUGUAAUUGGGAAGAUCUAUAGUUUAAAUUUCAAUUGUACAAGUUGUUAGGAACAGAUUUAUAAAUGUAUAAUUCAUUACAUUUUCAUUUUACCUCUUGCCCAUUUUAUUACGUAACAUGAUGGCUGAUAAUCAUUGCUCCCAAAGUGAGGAAUGAACAGGAUGGAGGUCUCUGUGAUUUGGUGGA